RNAcentral lists this long non-coding RNA (458 nucleotides) under Physcomitrium patens. Its description in RNAcentral is "long non-coding RNA (PPAT_LNC010229)". The record is from RNAcentral. Lineage: Eukaryota; Viridiplantae; Streptophyta; Bryopsida; Funariales; Funariaceae.
AAUCAAAUUCAAAAAAACCUCUAAGAAAUUUCAAAAAAACAAUAAGAAUUCUUAAAGAAAUAUUAGAAGAUUUACAAAUAUUAUUCAAAUACAUCUCAAUUCAAUCUUAAUUUAAUUUUAGUUAAAAUACUAUUAAACUUCAUUCAAAAUUUAGGCCAAAACUAAUUUAAUCUUAAAUCCUAAUAAAAUCCCAAAUCCUAAAUUAAAUCCUAAAUAAACCUUAAACCAAACUCCAACCAAAUCCUAAAUCAAAUCCUAAUUCAAAUUCUAAAUCCUAAACCAAACCCUAAUCCAAAUCCUAAAUCCUAAAUCAAACCCUAACUAAAUCUUAAACCUUAAAUCAAAUCCUAACCAAAUCCUAAAUCCUAAAUCAAAUCCUAAUAAUUCCUACAAUAGAUUUAAACCUCAAUAAUUAAUGAAUAAAUCAUUGAUCUUAACUUAAAUUUUGUACACUUCUA